CACCCUGGUGGUGGGGGUCACCCCUGAACUCAACACCACCGUCUCCAUCCAGAACCGUGGUGAGAAUUCCUACAGCACCACGGUGCAGUUUUUCUACCCGGCCGCGCUGUCCUACCGCCGGGUCCUGCUGCUCCAGUCUAACAGGAGGGCCGUGGCAGUUAGGUGCAGCUCGGCUGUGGGUUCCAAGGAGCAGACUCAGAGGAACAGCACCUGCCACGUCAACCACCCCAUCUUCUGGAGCGGGGCCGAGGCCGUCUUCAUCGCCACCUUCGACGUCUCCUCUGAGGCCGACCUGGGGGACAGGCUGCAGAUCAUGGCCAAUGCCAGCAGGUGAGGGGGCUGUGCAGGGCCAGCGGGCAGGGUGGGGG
Molecule: long non-coding RNA, 368 nt
Filed under: Chelonoidis abingdonii (Abingdon island giant tortoise)
Lineage: Eukaryota; Metazoa; Chordata; Testudines; Testudinidae
Description: lncRNA (ENSCABG00000007293.1)
Source: RNAcentral